RNAcentral lists this ribosomal RNA (453 nucleotides) under soil fungal sp. DM2-038. RNAcentral's name for it is "eukaryotic LSU rRNA". It matches the Rfam family "Eukaryotic large subunit ribosomal RNA", at positions 182 to 650 of the family's 3401-position model. Lineage: Eukaryota; Fungi. The record is from RNAcentral.
UAAGUGCCCUGGAACGGGACGUCAUAGAGGGUGAGAAUCCCGUAUGGGAUGGGGUGUCCGCGCCCGUGUGAAGCUCCUUCGACGAGUCGAGUUGUUUGGGAAUGCAGCUCUAAAUGGGUGGUAAAUUUCAUCUAAAGCUAAAUAUUGGCCGGAGACCGAUAGCGCACAAGUAGAGUGAUCGAAAGAUGAAAAGCACUUUGAAAAGAGAGUUAAAAAGCACGUGAAAUUGUUGAAAGGGAAGCGCUUGCGACCAGACUCGCUCGCGGGGUUCAGCCGGCAUUCGUGCCGGUGUAUUUCCCCGCGGGCGGGCCAGCGUCGGUUUGGGCGGUCGGUCAAAGGCCCUCGGAAGGUAACGCCCCUAGGGGCGUCUUAUAGCCGAGGGUGCAAUGCGACCUGCCUAGACCGAGGAACGCGCUUCGGCUCGGACGCUGGCAUAAUGGUCGUAAGCGACCC